Molecule: transfer RNA, 71 nt
Organism: Cavia porcellus (domestic guinea pig)
Lineage: Eukaryota; Metazoa; Chordata; Mammalia; Rodentia; Caviidae
Rfam family: tRNA
About the family: Transfer RNA (tRNA) molecules are approximately 80 nucleotides in length. Their secondary structure includes four short double-helical elements and three loops (D, anti-codon, and T loops).
Source: Rfam
GGGGAUUUAGCUCAGUGGCAUAAGCGCCUGCCUGGCAAGUAUGAGGUCGUGAAUUCAAUCCACAGUACCCC